UUUAUUGGAGAGUUUGAUCCUGGCUCAGGACGAACGCUGGCGGCAUGCCUAAUACAUGCAAGUCGAGCGGAGUUGAUAGGAAGCUUGCUUCCUUGAUACUUAGCGGCGGACGGGUGAGUAACACGUAGGCAACCUGCCCUCAAGUUUGGGACAACUACCGGAAACGGUAGCUAAUACCGAAUAAUUGUUUUCUUCGCCUGAAGGAAAUUGGAAAGACGGAGCAAUCUGUCACUUGGGGAUGGGCCUGCGGCGCAUUAGCUAGUUGGUGAGGUAACGGCUCACCAAGGCGACGAUGCGUAGCCGACCUGAGAGGGUGAUCGGCCACACUGGGA
This 332-nucleotide ribosomal RNA is filed under the name Paenibacillus sp. BGI2013. Its description in RNAcentral is "bacterial SSU rRNA". It matches the Rfam family "Bacterial small subunit ribosomal RNA", at positions 1 to 318 of the family's 1533-position model. Lineage: Bacteria; Bacillati; Bacillota; Bacilli; Caryophanales; Paenibacillaceae. The record is from RNAcentral.